This 557-nucleotide ribosomal RNA is filed under the name uncultured bacterium. Its description in RNAcentral is "bacterial SSU rRNA". It matches the Rfam family "Bacterial small subunit ribosomal RNA", at positions 102 to 694 of the family's 1533-position model. The record is from RNAcentral.
ACGGGUGAGUAACGCGUGGGAAUCUACCCAUCUCUACGGAAUAACGCAUGGAAACGUGUGCUAAUACCGUAUACGUCCUUCGGGAGAAAGAUUUAUCGGAGAUGGAAGAGCCCGCGUUGGAUUAGCUAGUUGGUGGGGUAAAGGCCUACCAAGGCGACGAUCCAUAGCUGGUCUGAGAGGAUGAUCAGCCACACUGGGACUGAGACACGGCCCAGACUCCUACGGGAGGCAGCAGUGGGGAAUAUUGGACAAUGGGCGCAAGCCUGAUCCAGCCAUGCCGCGUGAGUGAUGAAGGCCCUAGGGUUGUAAAGCUCUUUCACCGGUGAAGAUAAUGACGGUAACCGGAGAAGAAGCCCCGGCUAACUUCGUGCCAGCAGCCGCGGUAAUACGAAGGGGGCUAGCGUUGUUCGGAUUUACUGGGCGUAAAGCGCACGUAGGCGGACUAUUAAGUCAGGGGUGAAAUCCCGGGGCUCAACCCCGGAACUGCCUUUGAUACUGGUAGUCUUGAGUUCGAGAGAGGUGAGUGGAAUUCCGAGUGUAGAGGUGAAAUUCGUAGA